GUAAUAACCAACGCCUUACAGCUUAUAAUCAUGGCACAGUAGUACGCGAUGGGCAUGGAUAUUGGCCUGGAUUGCAGGUCGGAUACGGAGUCGGAAGCUGUCCACUUUGAAGCAACACCCUCGCGGCGGAGGCCAUCGCCGGCGCCUCCAGCAGCGCCGCCGCCAAGACGAAUAGCAUCAUGACGAGCACCGCCGCCAGCCGCCGGCCGCCGGUGGUCCUGAGCGCCACCGCCAUCGUCGAUCCUCCGAUGACUGAUUUUGUCACGGAUGUUUGGGUUAAUCUCUGAAUUUUCUGCAGGUUUAAUUUAACUAUAUGGCCGUUUAUAUAGGACAAGCUGAGCUACGUACCAGGAGAGAUGUAGCAAAAACUCCGGCAUUGGUUUGACCGGCAGCGUAGCUAGUAUAUAUCUAGGUUAUCUGUCUGGAAUUUAGUUCAGUUUUCCACCAGCACAUUCAAUUAUGCAUGACUAACUGAUGACUAAUUAACUGAACUGAUCGAGAGUACAAUAUAAUUAAAACGGUUUGACUAUAUAUUUCUCGUCAAAUUUUCUCUAGAAAGAUUUGCCAGAUACAAAUCCAAUACAAUUAUGAUGUAAUCACUUUUAAACUUUUAUCAACGACAUCACUUGUACGUAACUUUUAAAACACUGUAGUAAUGCGUUGUUUCGAAUCCACUGAUCACUUUGUAUGUACCAUGCGUUUUUUUUUUACCAAAACUAGCUUUUUUUUUUGGGGGGGGGGGGCACCUAUUCGCACUUUUUCUUACGAUUUUAGCGCCUCCGGACGCAUUUUUCUUUUUUUUCCGCCGCUACUUUCCCAUUUUUCUUUAAUUAUUCGCACACCUCUUUACAAAUGUACAAUUGAUUUUUUAAAAUUUUGACUUGAAAGUUUUCAAAUUUUGUGUUGAAAGUUUUUAAAUUUGAGUUGAAAGUUUUCAAACCUGGGUUGGAUGUUUUCAAAUAUGGGUUGAAAGUUUUUCAAAUUUGAGAUGAAAAGUUGAAAGUUUUUAAAUUUUGAGUUGAAAGUUUUCAAAUCUAGGUUGAAAGUUUUUCAAAUUUGAGAUGAAAGUUGAAAGUUUUCAAAUUUGGGUUGAAAGUUUUUCAAAUAUAAGAUGAAAAGUUGAAAAUUUUCAAAAUUUGAUUCAAAAAGUUCAAAUUUCAAGUUGAAAUUUUUUAAAAUAUGAUUUAAAUGUUUUCAAAUUGACUUAAAAAUUUAAAUUUGUAGUUGAAAGAUUUUAAAAUUCAAAUUGAUAGGUUUCAAAUCUUUAGUAAAAAACAGGAAACAAUGAUAUGUGAAAAAAAGAAAGUAUAACUUGUUUUAUUGUGAUUAUCGGAUCUAAUUAUGUAAAAGUUCAGCUAAUCAUGUAGUUCUCCCGAUUUGCGGCGGCUUCAUGACACGAGAAAAGGAAAAAGGAAGACUGUUGCUAGGGGUGGGCAAAAUAAAACCGAACCGAAGAACCGAACCGAAAAGGCCGAGACCGAGACCGAAAAGUCCGAGACCGAGAAAUUCGGUUAGUAAUUCGGUCUCAGCCAUCAAAAGACCAAAUUUUUUUCGGGUAAUUCGGUUAUUGGACUCGGUUAACCGAAUUAACCGAGAAAACCGAAUUGUGGCCCAAUAGACCUAUAAGGCCUAGUAAGCCCAGUAAAAAGAAAACCCUAGAGGGCAACAGGAGGGAGUCGCGCGCCCGCGCCGCCUCCAAUCCUCACGCGUCGCUUCGUCAGCCGCUUCUGCCUGCAUCGCGUCGGGCCGCUGGCGCCGCCCCCGCCCUCCGCCUCUAGCUCGCCGGUGCCGCCUCCUCCCUCCGCCUCCAUCCCGUCGCCGUCGCCACCGCCUCCUCCCUCUGCCUCCAUCCCGCCGCCGCGGGCAUCUAUCGUGUCACCUCCGCGGCGCCGCCUUCAGUGCUGCCUCCGCCUGACCGCCUCGGCACCGCCUCCGCCAUCGGCCUCCAGCACCGGCGCCGCCUCCGCCUCCAUCCCGCCGGCCGCCUCGGUGCCUCCAUCCCGCCGGCCACAUCCGUCUCCAUCGGGGACGACAGGGAGGCAGCAAGCGGCUACAUCUUGGCUUACUGCGAUGUACUGUAAGUACUAUGCUUUUUGUUUGAUCUACUUCUCUGAUUCGAAUCUAGUGCAUAAUUUGGUUAGACCGAGACCGAAUUUGCCGGUCCUGAGAUUUUUUGGAUGAAAUUCGGUCUUGAGAUUGCAAAGACCGAAAUGACCGAAAGACCGAAGACCGAGACCGAAUUUUUCGGUCUGACCGAAUUUUUCGGUCUGACCGAAUGCCCACCCCUAACUGUUGCCACGUAAAAAAAGGAAAAAUGUAAACUGAUGGGCUGCGCGUGACGGCGUGAGCCGCAUGUGGAGCCGUCGGCAAAAAUACGCGCCAGUUAAGUUAAUGACGCGUAUGCGCUAAUUAGCAAUUCUGCAGCAAGCUAUCGUAUAUCCAGCUUGUCUCAAGCUACCGUAUAUCCAGCUUGUCUGUCUGGAGUUUAAUUUACUUUUCCAUAAGCACAUGCAAAUUAUGCAAGACUAACUGAUGAGUAAUUAACUAAACAGAAAGAAUAUAACAUUGUGAUCACUAUGCAAGAGUGUGUACCUAACUUAUUAAGACAAGUCGAUCGGUCAGUCCCGAUCAUCUUGGAAAUCUAUUAGUCCUAUAUAAAGUUUUGGGUUCGUUGGAACCAUGCCACCCUAUAUUUGCAAAAUUUAUGAUAUGCCACCCGUAUCUCAAUGAUAUGUCGGACCCACAUGAGUCAAUGACAUGUGGGUCAGGGUGGCAUAUCACAAAUUUUGCAAAAUUUGUAUGGCAUGGUUCAAAUUGUCCCUAAAAGGGAGUUUAUGUGCAGUCGUGUAGAAAAUAUAUAGGCUUGUACUAAGAGAGGAACAAACACAAUGAACUAUGACAAUGGUAUGUUUUAUUUCUAUACCAUAAUCAAAGGCCAUUCGGUAGGAAAAAAUUAUGAGUUGUGUGGUUCAUGGCCACACUUUACCACACCAUACUUUCGGUAAUCACAGUUUGUUACGCAUGUGUCUGGUUCGCUGUCAUAGUUGUGGCUUGCCACACCUUCUUAGUAGUAUGACCCACACAUCAUAAACUUUUUUUUUUAACUUUGUCAUACUUUGUAGUUAGAAAUUUAUCCAACAUACUUUUGUUGCUGUCACAACUUGUCUAAUCUUAGAUGUGGUAAUGUGUGACCGGCAACCAAACAAACAAUAGAAGUUAUGCACAUGGCACAAGGAGUGAGGAAAAAAAGAUGAUCUAGAAAAUUUCCUUUUGUAUAUAGUAUGAUAUAUGGAAGAGCAAUUAAUACAUGCAUGGAAAUAUAUAAAAACAUUUUUGCCUCACAAUGCAGCUUCCACUGGUCGUAGGCCACUAGGCCAGGCGGUAGUACACGCAGAUCGGGGUAUUACAUAUUUGCAUGGCUCUCAAACAUCACAUGCAAAUAAAUAUUUUAUUUGAAAUAUAUCUUAAGUUGUAGAGAAGAAACUUCUGUAGGAACGAUAACUAUUUCAUUAUAUGCUGUUGGUUUAUUAAAAGUAAACUAAUAACCAACGGCAUACAGCUUAUAAUCAUGGCACAGUAGUAGGCGGUGGGCAUGAAUAUUGGUCUGGAUUGCAUGUCGGAUACGGAGUCGGAAGCAGUCCACUUUGAAGCAACACCCUCGCGGCGGAGGCCAUCACCGGCGCCUCCAGCAGCGCCGCCGCCAAGACGAACAGCAUCAGGACGAGCACCGCCGCCAGCCGCCGGCCACCGGUGGCCCUGAGCGCCGCCGCCAUCGCCGAUCCUCCGAUGAUCCUUGCUAUCUAAUUAAGC
Molecule: long non-coding RNA, 3810 nt
Filed under: Oryza sativa (Asian cultivated rice)
Lineage: Eukaryota; Viridiplantae; Streptophyta; Magnoliopsida; Poales; Poaceae
Description: long non-coding RNA (OSAT_LNC000115)
Source: RNAcentral